UUAAGCGACUAAGCGUACACGGUGGAUGCCCUGGCAGUCAGAGGCGAUGAAGGACGUGCUAAUCUGCGAAAAGCGUCGGUAAGGUGAUAUGAACCGUUAUAACCGGCGAUGUCCGAAUGGGGAAACCCAGUGUGAUUCGUCACACUAUCGUUAACUGAAUACAUAGGUUAACGAGGCGAACCGGGGGAACUGAAACAUCUAAGUACCCCGAGGAAAAGAAAUCAACCGAGAUUCCCCCAGUAGCGGCGAGCGAACGGGGAGCAGCCCAGAGUCUGAAUCAGCUUGUGUGUUAGUGGAACGGUCUGGAAAGUCCGACGGUACAGGGUGAUAGUCCCGUACACCAAAAUGCACAGGCUGUGAACUCGAAGAGUAGGGCGGGACACGUGGUAUCCUGUCUGAAUAUGGGGGGACCAUCCUCCAAGGCUAAAUACUCCUGACUGACCGAUAGUGAACCAGUACCGUGAGGGAAAGGCGAAAAGAACCCCGGCGAGGGGAGUGAAAAAGAACCUGAAACCGUGUACGUACAAGCAGUGGGAGCACCUUCGGGUGUGACUGCGUACCUUUUGUAUAAUGGGUCAGCGACUUAUAUUCUGUAGCAAGGUUAACCGUAUAGGGGAGCCGCAGGGAAACCGAGUCUUAACUGGGCGUUAAGUUGCAGGGUAUAGACCCGAAACCCGGUGAUCUAGCCAUGGGCAGGUUGAAGGUUGGGUAACACUAACUGGAGGACCGAACCGACUAAUGUUGAAAAAUUAGCGGAUGACUUGUGGCUGGGGGUGAAAGGCCAAUCAAACCGGGAGAUAGCUGGUUCUCCCCGAAAGCUAUUUAGGUAGCGCCUCGUGAAUUCAUCUUCGGGGGUAGAGCACUGUUUCGGCUAGGGGGUCAUCCCGACUUACCAACCCGAUGCAAACUACGAAUACCGAAGAAUGUUAUCACGGGAGACACACGGCGGGUGCUAACGUCCGUCGUGAAGAGGGAAACAACCCAGACCGCCAGCUAAGGUCCCAAAGUCAUGGUUAAGUGGGAAACGAUGUGGGAAGGCACAGACAGCCAGGAUGUUGGCUUAGAAGCAGCCAUCAUUUAAAGAAAGCGUAAUAGCUCACUGGUCGAGUCGGCCUGCGCGGAAGAUGUAACGGGGCUAAACCAUGCACCGAAGCUGCGGCAGCGACACUAUGUGUUGUUGGGUAGGGGAGCGUUCUGUAAGCCUGCGAAGGUGACCUGUGAGGGUUGCUGGAGGUAUCAGAAGUGCGAAUGCUGACAUAAGUAACGAUAAAGCGGGUGAAAAGCCCGCUCGCCGGAAGACCAAGGGUUCCUGUCCAACGUUAAUCGGGGCAGGGUGAGUCGACCCCUAAGGCGAGGCCGAAAGGCGUAGUCGAUGGGAAACAGGUUAAUAUUCCUGUACUUGGUGUUACUGCGAAGGGGGGACGGAGAAGGCUAUGUUAGCCGGGCGACGGUUGUCCCGGUUUAAGCAUGUAGGCUGAUUGUCCAGGCAAAUCCGGAUAAUCAAGGCUGAGGUGUGAUGACGAGGCACUACGGUGCUGAAGUAACAAAUGCCCUGCUUCCAGGAAAAGCCUCUAAGCAUCAGGUAACAUUAAAUCGUACCCCAAACCGACACAGGUGGUCAGGUAGAGAAUACCAAGGCGCUUGAGAGAACUCGGGUGAAGGAACUAGGCAAAAUGGUGCCGUAACUUCGGGAGAAGGCACGCUGGUGUGUAGGUGAAGCCCCUGCGGGUGGAGCUGAGACCAGUCGAAGAUACCAGCUGGCUGCAACUGUUUAUUAAAAACACAGCACUGUGCAAACACGAAAGUGGACGUAUACGGUGUGACGCCUGCCCGGUGCCGGAAGGUUAAUUGAUGGGGUUAUCCGUAAGGAGAAGCUCUUGAUCGAAGCCCCGGUAAACGGCGGCCGUAACUAUAACGGUCCUAAGGUAGCGAAAUUCCUUGUCGGGUAAGUUCCGACCUGCACGAAUGGCGUAAUGAUGGCCAGGCUGUCUCCACCCGAGACUCAGUGAAAUUGAACUCGCUGUGAAGAUGCAGUGUACCCGCGGCAAGACGGAAAGACCCCGUGAACCUUUACUAUAGCUUGACACUGAACAUUGAGCCUUGAUGUGUAGGAUAGGUGGGAGGCUUUGAAGCGUGGACGCCAGUCUGCGUGGAGCCAACCUUGAAAUACCACCCUUUAAUGUUUGAUGUUCUAACGUUGGCCCCUUACCGGGGUUGCGGACAGUGUCUGGUGGGUAGUUUGACUGGGGCGGUCUCCUCCCAAAGCGUAACGGAGGAGCACGAAGGUUAGCUAAUCCUGGUCGGACAUCAGGAGGUUAGUGCAAUGGCAUAAGCUAGCUUGACUGCGAGCGUGACGGCGCGAGCAGGUGCGAAAGCAGGUCAUAGUGAUCCGGUGGUUCUGAAUGGAAGGGCCAUCGCUCAACGGAUAAAAGGUACUCCGGGGAUAACAGGCUGAUACCGCCCAAGAGUUCAUAUCGACGGCGGUGUUUGGCACCUCGAUGUCGGCUCAUCACAUCCUGGGGCUGAAGUAGGUCCCAAGGGUAUGGCUGUUCGCCAUUUAAAGUGGUACGCGAGCUGGGUUUAGAACGUCGUGAGACAGUUCGGUCCCUAUCUGCCGUGGGCGCUGGAGAAUUGAGGGGGGCUGCUCCUAGUACGAGAGGACCGGAGUGGACGCAUCACUGGUGUUCGGGUUGUCAUGCCAAUGGCACUGCCCGGUAGCUAAAUGCGGAAGAGAUAAGUGCUGAAAGCAUCUAAGCACGAAACUUGCCCCGAGAUGAGUUCUCCCUGAGACUUUAAGUCUCCUGAAGGAACGUUGAAGACGACGACGUUGAUAGGCCGGGUGUGUAAGCGCAGCGAUGCGUUGAGCUAACCGGUACUAAUGAACCGUGAGGCUUAACCUU
Molecule: ribosomal RNA, 2900 nt
Filed under: Klebsiella pneumoniae
Lineage: Bacteria; Pseudomonadati; Pseudomonadota; Gammaproteobacteria; Enterobacterales; Enterobacteriaceae
Description: 23S ribosomal RNA
Rfam family: Bacterial large subunit ribosomal RNA
Source: RNAcentral